CCGAGUUUACAACUCCCAAACCCCUGUGAACAUACACUUGUUGCCUCGGCGGAUCAGCCCGCUCCCGGUAAAACGGGACGGCCUGCCAGAGGACCCCUAAACUCUGUUUCUAUAUGUAACUUCUGAGUAAAACCAUAAAUAAAUCA
Molecule: unclassified non-coding RNA, 146 nt
Filed under: soil metagenome
Description: partial internal transcribed spacer 1
Source: RNAcentral